This is a long non-coding RNA of Oxyura jamaicensis (ruddy duck), 1066 nucleotides long. RefSeq lists it as uncharacterized. Lineage: Eukaryota; Metazoa; Chordata; Aves; Anseriformes; Anatidae. The record is from RefSeq and is a predicted model, not a curated record. The transcript is spliced from 2 exons.
CGGCGCGGUUAAAUUCCUGGUUUCUCCUUCCCUCGCCAGUCCCCCCGGGCAGAGGGGAGCUGCCGAAGCCUGCGCAGUCGAGAAAGGAGCAAGAAGAGAGUCUGGGGCGUCGUCGCAGCCAGGGAGAGCCGGUCUCGGAGAGCUGGGGCCACCCGGACCCGCUGCCCUCCUCACGCCGUGGGAUGGGGACCAGGUGGGGCUGGGGCUGCCCCUGCCGCUUCCCCGCCUGCCAGGCCCUGCUGCUGCGGCAGGGACGGGCCCUCAGGCCUGCUUCACAGCCACCGGCAGGGCUGUGGAAUAACUGCAAAAUCAGCUUGCUCUCCACCCCUCCCAAAAAAACGUCUCGCUAAUGUGUGCAGCACCUGAUUUGUUUUGGUUGCUGUGUGGCUAAAAUGCACUUGAAUUGAACCAGGGUAACGGAAAGACCCACCCCACGUGCUGGAUCGUCUUUAGGGUAGAUGUUAGCCGUGUGCUGGGUGGGUUUCCCAAAGCAGGGGAGCCUGUUCUGUAGGAACAGCUCCGGGGAGCAGCACACUUCAGCUAAACACUACGUAUCUCAAACUCUAGACCUGUGAGCCUGAUGCAAUGAAAUGAAUUGUCUACUCAAUCCAACACACAGAGCCUUUUAAGACUCAGUAAUUCAAUUUCUCCCCCCAAGUAAAGUGAGAUUACCUGGUAAUAACUUCACUGCAAGGUCUUGGUCUUUAAGAAAAACACCACUUUGCACAACUCAGGGCAACCUGCAAACACUGCCUUAAUUCACUGUAGCUUCAGAGCAGGAAAUGUUGCAAUUUGAUCAAUAUUUGUUCUUCUAAGGUUUGGUGCUCAUAGAUUUUAUCGGUUUUAAUGGUUUUGCCUUUUAUGCUGCAAUGUACAAGGUAAUUUUUAAAAUUGAUGUUCCCAAAUAGUUUAUUGUGCAAAAGGCAAGAAACUAUGAAGAUAAUACAAUGGGAUCAUGAAUGGGUUGCAAAAUACUUUUCAAAGGCAUAGCCAGAAAUUCUCCUUAGACUGAUAGCUACAUGCGAGAUUGCUAACAGCAGGAGUUUAUCGCAUGUUCUUUUUUUUU